This 1346-nucleotide ribosomal RNA is filed under the name uncultured bacterium. RNAcentral's name for it is "partial 16S ribosomal RNA". It matches the Rfam family "Bacterial small subunit ribosomal RNA", at positions 28 to 1381 of the family's 1533-position model. The record is from RNAcentral.
GACGAACGCUGGCGGCGUGCUUAACACAUGCAAGUCGAACGGAAAGGCCCUGCUUUUGUGGGGUGCUCGAGUGGCGAACGGGUGAGUAACACGUGAGUAACCUGCCCUUGACUUUGGGAUAACUUCAGGAAACUGGGGCUAAUACCGGAUAGGAGCUCCUGCUGCAUGGUGGGGGUUGGAAAGUUUCGGCGGUUGGGGAUGGACUCGCGGCUUAUCAGCUUGUUGGUGGGGUAGUGGCUUACCAAGGCUUUGACGGGUAGCCGGCCUGAGAGGGUGACCGGCCACAUUGGGACUGAGAUACGGCCCAGACUCCUACGGGAGGCAGCAGUGGGGAAUAUUGCACAAUGGGCGGAAGCCUGAUGCAGCAACGCCGCGUGCGGGAUGACGGCCUUCGGGUUGUAAACCGCUUUCGCCUGUGACGAAGCGUGAGUGACGGUAAUGGGUAAAGAAGCACCGGCUAACUACGUGCCAGCAGCCGCGGUGAUACGUAGGGUGCGAGCGUUGUCCGGAUUUAUUGGGCGUAAAGGGCUCGUAGGUGGUUGAUCGCGUCGGAAGUGUAAUCUUGGGGCUUAACCCUGAGCGUGCUUUCGAUACGGGUUGACUUGAGGAAGGUAGGGGAGAAUGGAAUUCCUGGUGGAGCGGUGGAAUGCGCAGAUAUCAGGAGGAACACCAGUGGCGAAGGCGGUUCUCUGGGCCUUUCCUGACGCUGAGGAGCGAAAGCGUGGGGAGCGAACAGGCUUAGAUACCCUGGUAGUCCACGCUGUAAACGGUGGGUACUAGGUGUGGGGUCCAUUCCACGGGUUCCGUGCCGUAGCUAACGCUUUAAGUACCCCGCCUGGGGAGUACGGCCGCAAGGCUAAAACUCAAUGGAAUUGACGGGGCCCCGCACAAGCGGCGGAGCAUGCGGAUUAAUUCGAUGCAACGCGUAGAACCUUACCUGGGUUUGACAUGGAUCGGGAGUGCUCAGAGAUGGGUGUGCCUCUUUUGGGGUCGGUUCACAGGUGGUGCAUGGCUGUCGUCAGCUCGUGUCGUGAGAUGUUGGGUUAAGUCCCGCAACGAGCGCAACCCUUGUUCACUGUUGCCAGCACGUUAUGGUGGGGACUCAGUGGAGACCGCCGGGGUCAACUCGGAGGAAGGUGGGGAUGACGUCAAGUCAUCAUGCCCCUUAUGUCCAGGGCUUCACGCAUGCUACAAUGGCUGGUACAGAGAGUGGCGAGCCUGUGAGGGUGAGCGAAUCUCGGAAAGCCGGUCUCAGUUCGGAUUGGGGUCCGCAACUCGACCUCAUGAAGUCGGAGUCGCUAGUAAUCGCAGAUCAGCAACGCUGCGGUGAAUACGUUCCCGGGGCU